GAUGAAGAACGUAGCGAAAUGCGAUAAGUAAUGUGAAUUGCAGAAUUCAGUGAAUCAUCGAAUCUUUGAACGCACAUUGCGCCCGCCAGUAUUCUGGCGGGCAUGCCUGUCUGAGCGUCAUUUCAACCCUCAAGCAACUUCUGCUUGGUGUUGGGGAUCGGCCGUCAAACGCCGCCCCCGAAAUCUAUUGGCGAUCUCGCUGUAGCUUCCUAUGCGUAGUAGUAACAUCUCGCAUCUGGAGAGCGGCGCGGUCAUGCCGUAAAACACCCAACUUCUCAGGUUGACCUCGGAUCAGGUAGGGAUACCCGCUGAACUUAAGCAUAUCAAUAAGCGGAGGA
Molecule: unclassified non-coding RNA, 338 nt
Filed under: soil metagenome
Description: partial contains 5.8S ribosomal RNA, internal transcribed spacer 2, and large subunit ribosomal RNA
Rfam family: 5.8S ribosomal RNA (bases 1-120)
Source: RNAcentral